AUACAGAGGGUGCAAGCGUUAAUCGGAAUUACUGGGCGUAAAGCGCGCGUAGGCGGUUUGUUAAGUUGGAUGUGAAAGCCCCGGGCUUAACCUGGGAGGGUCAUUCAAAACUGGCAGACUAGAGUGUGGUAGAGGGUAGUGGAAUUCCUAGUGUAGCGGUGAAAUGCGUAGAGAUUAGGAGGAACACCAGUGGCGAAGGCGACUGCCUGGACCAACACUGACGCUGAGGUGCGAAAGCGUGGGUAGCGAACAGGAUUAGAAACCCGGGUAGUCC
RNAcentral lists this ribosomal RNA (274 nucleotides) under uncultured bacterium. RNAcentral describes it as "partial 16S ribosomal RNA". It matches the Rfam family "Bacterial small subunit ribosomal RNA", at positions 523 to 796 of the family's 1533-position model. The record is from RNAcentral.